Molecule: non-coding RNA, 205 nt
Organism: Pelobates cultripes (western spadefoot toad)
Lineage: Eukaryota; Metazoa; Chordata; Amphibia; Anura; Pelobatidae
Source: the annotation of a GenBank genome assembly
GCUCCUAGCGCUUCCUGAGGACUCCAAGCACUGCAGCAGACACCACAACCACCGUACCGGAGAAGCAUAUGAAUCCUCUCAAGCAUAUGAAUGCUGUAGACAGUUGAAUAGGAACCAUACGAAUAGGUUUACUCUCCUAGCAGUCAAACUGGAACAGCAUACAAUAAAUCCUUCCCCCAAUAAUGAGACGACACUUCACUUUGAG